RNAcentral lists this long non-coding RNA (2236 nucleotides) under Homo sapiens (human). RNAcentral's name for it is "non-protein coding lnc-MTHFSD-61:1". Lineage: Eukaryota; Metazoa; Chordata; Mammalia; Primates; Hominidae. The record is from RNAcentral.
UCUCUUUCUGUGCAAUCACUAAAAGGGAUAGAACUGGCAUUCCCCACUCACAGGAGGCCUCAGGGAAGCUGUAUAAUCACAAGCACAGAUCACCUGAGGUCAGGAGUUCGAGACCAGUCUGGCCAACAAGGGGAAACUCCAUCUCUAUUAGAAAUACAAAAAUUAGCCAGGCAUCAUGGUGCAUGCCUCUAAUACCAGCUACUCAGGAGGCUAAGGCAAGAGAAUCACUUGAACCUGGAGGCAGAGGUUGCAGUGAGUCAAGAUUGCACCACUGCACUCCAGCCUGGGUGACAGAGUGAGACUGUCUCAAAAAAAAUAAAAAUAAAAAUAAAAAAAAGAUUAAGGAAACAGUAAUUCUAAAUAUAAGGAUGAUUAUUAUGUGAAGUUUACUACUAGGCCAGGCACUAGGCACAUCAGUUCAUACACGUGAUGCCAUCUAACCACAAUAGUGCUGUGAGGUGGGUGCUGUUAUUAUCUCCAUAUUACAAAUGGGGGUGGUUGGGGAGCUCUUAUCAAUUUUUAGUUGUAUUCAUUGAUGUAACACUCAAUUUCUCUGCAGAACAUAUAGCUUUUGUAUGGAAAAAUCAGGCAGAAAGAGACGUCUUGUGCCUGUUACCGUCUAUUUCUGUAAUUUACUACCAAAUAGCAAGCCACCAGAGAAGUGACCUUGACCUUUGGCUCUUGUUACCUCUCCUGCUACCUCCUGGCCUCUUGAGACCUGGGUGCGCCUGGAGCUACUCUCUUCCACAUGUUUGUUCUCUUCCUGAAUGAGGAGAUUGAGGGUUUUUAGUAUGUGCUGAUCUAUUUUCCUUGGGCCACCCAAGAAGUCAUAGAGCAAAGAGGGAUUAAAAUGCCUCUCUCCUGAGUGUCUCUUCAGGAGAGGACUAAAUAAUGGAAAAUGAACGUGAAGUGUCGUGUGAAGAAACCUUGGGUCAGAUGGCUGCUGAGGCCUCCUGAGUUAGUGGUUAGAUGGCCCACGCUUUGAGUCAACCUUCAGUUGGGAAAAGACUUGGAGGUUAUUCCCCAGAAGAAUGUGAGAUAAUACACUAGCGGCCCAGUGAGUCUUCUCAACCAUGAUUAACUGAGGAAGGCUGGGGAGAAGGUCAACAUAUCUUAUGCUAGAAGGUCCCAAGUGCAGCUGUGAAUUUGACACUGAGGGUCAUGUUGGCGAAUGUUCCUACAGCAAAGAUAAUGGAGGCAGCUGGGUGGGGAAGCAAGGUUGAAAAGGCAGGGGUUAUGAAAGUAGGAUAGGCUUGAGUUCGACUUUUCCCUCUGAGGAGACUUGGUUCCUGCCAAGAUGGAGUAGCUCCAUUCCUCCAAUCCCUACCUCUUAUAACUAAAAACCCUGAACAUAGCACAACAAACAUGCAAAGACUCUGAAAUGUGGAUUGGAGACGGCAGGCUGCUUAGGAAUCUCGGGACUUAAGGGAUGACUCAGCACAAAGUUUCCUGAGUUUCCAUAUUGAGUCCCAUCUGUCUCAUACAGGGUGCUGGAGAAGCCCAGAGCCCCAAACCAUCAACAGGCCCAGACAAAAAAAUCAUCCUAAGAAAGCCUGUUUUCUCCAGUCAACAUACCAGGAAAAGUGUGGAUUAACAGAACUGAAAACCUUGAUGACCAUAGCCACCAUGCUCCAGCCAACCAAAACCAACGGAAACGCUCCUUCUUUCUCUACAACCUUCCAGGUCUCCCACCCAGUGGUGUCAACUGAGCCAAACAGUGACCUAACCUUUCAUUUCCUAUCCAGCAGAAGCAGGCAUGCUCUGAUUCCUCUGUUGGGGUGGUAUUGGUGGGCUGAGUGGCGAGCUAAACCUCCAUUCCCAUCUGGAAGGAAAUAGACUGAAUUCAACAGUGUAAGGUGGAGCUAGUGGGCAUUCCUCACUCCUCACUUCACCCUAUAUAUCAGCAAAGCACAGUAGGAGCAAAAUACAAUAACCAAAAUAAAAACACUGGUUGAGUGUAACAGCAGAAUAAAUAUGACAGAUGAAAUAAUGAGUUUGCUUGAAGAUAGAACAAAAGAAAUUAUUCAAUUUAAACAACAGAAAGAAAAUAGAUUUUAAAAAACAACAAACAGAGCUCCAGGGACCUGUGGUAUAAUAUUUUAGAAAUCUAAUAUUUACAUUGUCAGAAUGUCAGAAAAUGAAGAAAAAGCGUGUUGGUCUGAAAAAAUGUAUAAGAAAGUAGUGGCUGAAAAUUUCCCAAAUAUGGUGAAAGGCAUAACCCUAAGAGAUUCAAGAA